RNAcentral lists this ribosomal RNA (253 nucleotides) under uncultured bacterium. RNAcentral's name for it is "partial 16S ribosomal RNA". It matches the Rfam family "Bacterial small subunit ribosomal RNA", at positions 524 to 776 of the family's 1533-position model. The record is from RNAcentral.
UACGAAGGGGGCUAGCGUUGCUCGGAAUCACUGGGCGUAAAGGGUGCGUAGGCGGGUCUUUAAGUCAGGGGUGAAAUCCUGGAGCUCAACUCCAGAACUGCCUUUGAUACUGAGGAUCUUGAGUUCGGGAGAGGUGAGUGGAACUGCGAGUGUAGAGGUGAAAUUCGUAGAUAUUCGCAAGAACACCAGUGGCGGAGGCGGCUCACUGGCCCGAUACUGACGCUGAGGAGCGAAAGCGUGGGGAGCGAACAGG